CAAAAAGAAGCAGGUAGGGUUUGAGCGGUGGCGCUGCUUACCACCCUUUCAUCGCGCCUACACGCUGGGUUGGAUUCCUCCAGCACAAACAACUGUACGAGUACUCGCUAAUGGCGGACGGUGGAGGUGGUGUUCCUGUCGCAUUUGUGAUUUCACACUAAAUAGGAAGGAAUCGGCGCUGGAUUGUUACACAACUGUUGCACCAGUGAAGGAUGUCUGUGUGCCGCCUUGCAUUCAGUUUCUCAGUCAUGGGGGCCUGCUUGCAACACCAGUGGUAAUGCAGUCUUGCAUUGUGCUAUUUGUUCUGGAAGGACACAAGCAUUGAGGAGCCAUUUGACCUGCCACUACACUGAUACGGUAUUUGGCAAAGGCAGGAGGCAUCUGCAAGCAACCAGUCAUUCCGAUUCUCAACCAAUCCUUCUAGUCAGCCGAUUUCUAGUGUCUUAUCUUGCAAGUUUUUUUCAGUAAAGCACAAUAAACACGCAGUUUCGUUCAGAUUCAGGUGGCUUGUUGCUUUUGGGCACGAAUUUGUAUGUAUGCUUUGUACACGUCAUGUACAGAACUCAAAUGCAACAUGGCAACACUGACACGAAGAUGAAGCGGUGUAGAAGACAGUUACACAAGGAGGAAACGUGCACACACAGCAUUUUCAGUGUGGUGUAUGUCCACUUAUGUGCAUUGAUUUCUGCCCCAUUUCAAGCUAUAUCCGAUGUGAGUUAGCCAUGUUGUAAUGUACAACUUGGUAUAACUUAUUUCAAUGAAACAAACAAUUUUCUCAUUUGCUGGAGAUAUACACCUGCAUCAUCAUUUACAAAACAAAUUUUGCACCUGUUGAUACGAAGCAAGAUAAAGCUGAACAAGUUCGUACGGAUUCAUGGUACAGGCACGCAAGCAUAGAAGACA
Dermacentor silvarum is the source of this 903-nucleotide long non-coding RNA. RefSeq lists it as uncharacterized. NCBI's taxonomy places the organism in Eukaryota, Metazoa, Arthropoda, Arachnida, Ixodida, Ixodidae. The record is from RefSeq and is a predicted model, not a curated record. The transcript is spliced from 4 exons.